Molecule: ribosomal RNA, 229 nt
Filed under: uncultured bacterium
Lineage: Bacteria
Description: partial 16S ribosomal RNA
Rfam family: Bacterial small subunit ribosomal RNA
Source: RNAcentral
UGCGUAGGCGGAAUGAUAAGUCAGAGGUGGAAUCUCCCGGCUCAACCGGGAAACUGCCUUUGAUACUGUCAUUCUUGAGUACAGUUGAAGUGGGCGGAAUACGUCAUGUAGCGGUGAAAUGCAUAGAUAUGACGUAGAACACCGAUAGCGAAGGCAGCUCACUAAGCUGUAACUGACGCUCAGGCACGAAAGCGUGGGGAGCAAACAGGAUUAGAUACCCUGGUAGUCC